Molecule: ribosomal RNA, 1128 nt
Filed under: Chryseobacterium soli
Lineage: Bacteria; Pseudomonadati; Bacteroidota; Flavobacteriia; Flavobacteriales; Weeksellaceae
Description: bacterial SSU rRNA
Rfam family: Bacterial small subunit ribosomal RNA
Source: RNAcentral
CACGGCCCGACUCCUACGGGAGGCAGCAGUGAGGAAUAUUGGACAAUGGUGAGAGCCUGAUCCAGCCAUCCCGCGUGAAGGAUGACGGCCCUAUGGGUUGUAAACUUCUUUUGUAUAGGGAUAAACCUACCCUCGUGAGGGUAGCUGAAGGUACUAUACGAAUAAGCACCGGCUAACUCCGUGCCAGCAGCCGCGGUAAUACGGAGGGUGCAAGCGUUAUCCGGAUUUAUUGGGUUUAAAGGGUCCGUAGGCGGACUCGUAAGUCAGUGGUGAAAUCUCAUAGCUUAACUAUGAAACUGCCAUUGAUACUGCGGGUCUUGAGUAAGGUAGAGGUAGCUGGAAUAAGUAGUGUAGCGGUGAAAUGCAUAGAUAUUACUUAGAACACCAAUUGCGAAGGCAGGUUACCAUGUCUUAACUGACGCUGAUGGACGAAAGCGUGGGGAGCGAACAGGAUUAGAUACCCUGGUAGUCCACGCCGUAAACGAUGCUAACUCGUUUUUGGGUUUUCGGAUUCAGAGACUAAGCGAAAGUGAUAAGUUAGCCACCUGGGGAGUACGAACGCAAGUUUGAAACUCAAAGGAAUUGACGGGGGCCCGCACAAGCGGUGGAUUAUGUGGUUUAAUUCGAUGAUACGCGAGGAACCUUACCAAGGCUUAAAUGGGAAAUGACAGGCUUAGAAAUAGGCUUUUCUUCGGACAUUUUUCAAGGUGCUGCAUGGUUGUCGUCAGCUCGUGCCGUGAGGUGUUAGGUUAAGUCCUGCAACGAGCGCAACCCCUGUCACUAGUUGCCAUCAUUCAGUUGGGGACUCUAGUGAGACUGCCUACGCAAGUAGAGAGGAAGGUGGGGAUGACGUCAAAUCAUCACGGCCCUUACGCCUUGGGCCACACACGUAAUACAAUGGCCAGUACAGAGGGCUGCUACCAGGCGACUGGAUGCUAAUCUCGAAAGCUGGUCUCAGUUCGGAUUGGAGUCUGCAACUCGACUCUAUGAAGCUGGAAUCGCUAGUAAUCGCGCAUCAGCCAUGGCGCGGUGAAUACGUUCCCGGGCCUUGUACACACCGCCCGUCAAGCCAUGGAAGUCUGGGGUACCUGAAGUCGGUGACCGUAACAGGAGCUGCCUAGGUUAAAC